CUAUAAAAUAAAGGCUCAGCUUGCCUCAGGAUCUUUCUCUGUGGCCCCAGCCAGCCACAGGAAGAUCCACGGAGAAUAAAGAGAGCUAGAGAGUUCUGAACGCUGUCUCCAUGUAAAACAUUCUUCGCCGACUCCGUCCACACCUUAGGGAACCCCUGGACCGCUGGGCCUGGACCCCGGCACCCCAAUAUUUCCAAAUUAUCUCUUGUCUCUUCUCUUUCAUUUGUGUGCGGCUCCUCUUCCAGAUCCUGAACCCUGAACCACGCGGGACAUGGAGGGAAACAUUUACAACAUUUUCCCUUUCCUUAAGCCAUAGUCAUCAAAAUUUUGAUGAUAGAUGAGUAAAUUAAGGCUUAGAUAAGUUAAUACACUUGUCCAAGGUUACAGUGUUUAGGUGACAGAAUGAUGAAUAUAUUUAGGUUUUCUGACAUAUAGACAGUACUCCUUAUAUCCCCUCAUGGUAAUUUUAAUAAUUCUAAAUAAUUUAUUUUUCAUAAAUCAAGCAAAUCCUAUAAUAGCCACUCACUUAAGCUCUGAUGAUAUAAAGAUGAAUGAGGCAAAUCAAGUAGAAAGCAGAACUAUUUAAUGUUAUCUAUUUAUUUAAAAUUUUAGGUCCUUCCUAUAGUAUUUCAUAAUUUUAUCACAUAGUUUUUAAUUGCUACCAUUAAAAAAUUUUAAGACUUAUCCAUACUAACUUCUCAAAUCAUAAAUAUAAUUAUUCAAAUUAACAAAAACCUUUAAACAAGAAUAAAAUGACUGGAGGUAAGUAAGUGGGAUGUGGAGUAUGGAGAAAAUGUUCAGUACAUAAGAAAAAGCUCUCAGCUUCCUAAAAACUGAAACAAAUGAGACUUUUAAAAACAUGAAUGAUUUCCACUAUUUUUCUUGUAAAAUAAAGUUAAUAAGUAUUAUAAGUUCAUGUGAGAAACUGUCUCCUAUCUUUAAGAAGUUCUUUCUAAUAUAAAUAUUUUUAUAAGAACAACUUUUACAAGAGUUUUAAAAAGGCACAAAUAUUCUUCAUAUAGACAUCUAAUAAAUCCCCAGCCUGUAUUUAUUCCCCAGAAAGAGACUGCCUUAUCCCUAUGCUAACCCAGGAAGGCAAGCCAGGCAAAUGACUGGGCGAGUCUGACUCCGUGAAAGUCAGUGAUACGUUGAUUACUGAUAUAUCCUGAAUACCUCAGAAAAAAAAAAAGACACUGAUUUUUAAUUCCACCUCUGCCAUGA
Molecule: long non-coding RNA, 1221 nt
Organism: Myotis daubentonii (Daubenton's bat)
Lineage: Eukaryota; Metazoa; Chordata; Mammalia; Chiroptera; Vespertilionidae
Exons: 2
Source: RefSeq, a predicted model, not a curated record